RNAcentral lists this ribosomal RNA (1304 nucleotides) under Phloeocharis californica. RNAcentral's name for it is "eukaryotic LSU rRNA". It matches the Rfam family "Eukaryotic large subunit ribosomal RNA", at positions 64 to 1119 of the family's 3401-position model. Lineage: Eukaryota; Metazoa; Arthropoda; Insecta; Coleoptera; Staphylinidae. The record is from RNAcentral.
ACUAACUAGGAUUCCCUUAGUAGCUGCGAGCGAACAGGGAAGAGCCCAGCACUGAAUCCCGCGGCGACGCGGGAAAUGUAGUGUUUGGGAGGGUCCGCCAUCCCGAUGCUGUCUUGCGCGUCCAAGUCCUUCUUGAACGGGGCUACUUACCCAUAGAGGGUGCCAGGCCCGUAGCGACCGCAAACAGUCACGGGAGGACCUCUCCUCAGAGUCGGGUUGCUUGAGAGUGCAGCCCUAAGUGGGUGGUAAACUCCAUCUAAGGCUAAAUAUAACCACGAGACCGAUAGCGAACAAGUACCGUGAGGGAAAGUUGAAAAGAACUUUGAAGAGAGAGUUCAAUAGUACGUGAAACCGUUCAGGGGUAAACCUGAGAAACCCGAAAGUUCGAAUGGGGAGAUUCACCGUGUCUCCGGGCGAGCGUUSGRUGACGACCGUGACGGAUGGCGUUCGCGUCGUCCGCGCACGUUGCCSGCGAGCUCGCCUGGAACGCGUGCACUUCUCCCCUAGUAGGACGUUGCGACCCGUUGGGUGUCGGUCUAAGGCUCGCGAGGGAGCCCGCGCGUGUCGGUUCGCCGUUCACGCACGGACCCGCGGUGUCCCGGCCGACAAGCCCGACGGUACGAUCAUAUGGCGCGGAGCCGCCUCUAUGGCGUCCGGCGCGUCGCAAGCACCGUCGGUAACCUGACGCUCGGACCUAGCGCCGACGUUGGGCCCGGCAGGCUGUUGGCGGCGCUGCUCUCGGACAGACUUCGUACACGCCGAUCGGCAACGCUUUAGCUUUGGGUACUUUCAGGGCCCGUCUUGAAACACGGACCAAGGAGUCUAGCAUGUGCGCGAGUCACUGGGAACAAAUUAAACCCAAAGGCGAAGUGAAAGUACAGGCCGGCCUUGCGCCGGCUCAGGGAGGACGGGUCGCGUCCGCGCGGCCCCGCACUCCCGGGGCGUCUCGUUCUCAUUGCGAGAUGAGGCGCACCUAGAGCGCACACGCUGGUACCCGAAAGAUGGUGAACUAUGCCUGGUCAGGACGAAGUCAGGGGAAACCCUGAUGGAGGUCCGUAGCGAUUCUGACGUGCAAAUCGAUCGUCGGAACUGGGUAUAGGGGCGAAAGACUAAUCGAACCAUCUAGUAGCUGGUUCCCUCCGAAGUUUCCCUCAGGAUAGCUGGCGCUCGCAUGAGCGAGUCUCAUCUGGUAAAGCGAAUGAUUAGAGGCAUUGGGGUCGAAACGGCCUCAACCUAUUCUCAAACUUUAAAUGGGUGAGAUCUCCGGCUUGCUUGAAAAGUGAAGCCGCGAGAUUCGAUCAGAG